UAUAGAUGUUUGCGGACUAAAAACGCCACGUCCUGUGGCAACGUCCGCAUGACAAACAUCGUGUUUG
This 67-nucleotide small RNA is filed under the name Ureibacillus xyleni. RNAcentral's name for it is "Lysinibacillus xyleni Bacillaceae-1 RNA". It matches the Rfam family "Bacillaceae-1 RNA". Lineage: Bacteria; Bacillati; Bacillota; Bacilli; Caryophanales; Caryophanaceae. The record is from RNAcentral.